Molecule: transfer RNA, 74 nt
Filed under: Phycisphaeraceae bacterium
Lineage: Bacteria; Pseudomonadati; Planctomycetota; Phycisphaerae; Phycisphaerales; Phycisphaeraceae
Description: tRNA-Arg
Rfam family: tRNA
About the family: Transfer RNA (tRNA) molecules are approximately 80 nucleotides in length. Their secondary structure includes four short double-helical elements and three loops (D, anti-codon, and T loops).
Source: RNAcentral
GCCCGCGUAGCUCAGCUGGAUAGAGCAGGGCUUUCCUAAAGCUCAGGUCGUAGGUUCGAAUCCUGCCGCGGGUG